This 1151-nucleotide long non-coding RNA is filed under the name Strigops habroptila (Kakapo). Its description in RNAcentral is "lncRNA (ENSSHBG00005005014.1)". The record is from RNAcentral. Lineage: Eukaryota; Metazoa; Chordata; Aves; Psittaciformes; Psittacidae.
UUUUUUUGGGACAAGGCUUUCUCUUUCUCUUUGUGUUUGUAGAGGGGAGGCCUCAUCUCUACUCCUGCAGGUAAUACAAGGACCAUAAUACUAAUCCUAAAACAAUUGGAGGAAUGUCUGAUGCAGAGAUCUGUCUGCACCUGAAGAUGGAAGACAGUCUACUUGCUCUUUUUGUUGUUUUGGUUGGGUUGUUUUUUUGCCUCCUUCUCGGUUCCUUCUUCAGUUUUAGUGAAUCCAGACUAGGAUUGAAGGUCACAUCUCUUUAACUAGGUCUCAGCAUUUUUCAUUUCCCUAGCCCCAGUUAUUUUUCCUCUCCUUUGGAACUGAGUCCUCUGAAAUAGCAAAAAAUUUUGCCAGACCAACAAAAGCAGCCUGCCUAGCCCAAAGUCUUACUUAGAACUCUUACACAGUUCUGAAUAAACAGCCCUGCAUUGGAGAACUCCUUAGUGGACUUCUCCACUAACUUAAACCUGUCUUUGUAUGCAAAAACUAAAAUAAAACUGAAAGUUACAUUUCUGCAUGAAAAUACCGUACAUUUUUUACCGUUACGGAACAAUGUAAGAAGAGAAUAUAAGCGAAAUACAUGCUUUCUACUUUACCCAUUUUGUUCAUCUAUUUAACAAGCGCUACCUUGUCCUUUUCCAUGUUAAGGCAGAGAAGAGCUAGGUAGAAUCUUUACAGUAAUAGAAGAACAGCGAAAGGGAAGUCAUGCACAAAAUGCAGAACUUGGGGGGGGGGGGGGGGGGGAAGACUGAAUUAAAAGCACAUUAUCUGAACACAGAAAUUCUCAAAAUCGGGUUCAGAAAGGGACAGUGGCCAGCGCCGCAUUGACGAGCGAAGGGAUUCAGUCAGCAUCACAGUGUUUGGUAUUUUUUGCACGUUUCACAGCCCCGACGCAGCCCCGGUUUCUCUAAAACUGCCGCGACCCCACCAGCUUUCUCUCCCGCCAGAGCGGCCAGAACUCCCCCGCUACCGCCGCCGGCCGCCCCGCCGCGCCCGCGCCCAUCCCCGCCUCCCCGGUCUGCACAGGCCCCCGGCCCGGCGCAACACCCUUACCUGGAGAAGAGCCAGCCCCCGGCUCACACCUGAGAAGCCACAGCGCCCGCAGGGCCCUGGCAAUGCCGAUAGCGGUGCUCUGCAGCGCGGCGCUG